RNAcentral lists this ribosomal RNA (621 nucleotides) under uncultured Russulaceae. RNAcentral describes it as "LSU rRNA". It matches the Rfam family "Eukaryotic large subunit ribosomal RNA", at positions 47 to 649 of the family's 3401-position model. Lineage: Eukaryota; Fungi; Basidiomycota; Agaricomycetes; Russulales; Russulaceae. The record is from RNAcentral.
UAAGCGGAGGAAAAGAAACUAACAAGGAUUCCCCUAGUAACUGCGAGUGAAGCGGGAAAAGCUCAAAUUUAAAAUCUGGUGGUCUUUGGCCGUCCGAGUUGUAAUUUAGAGAAGCGUCUUCCGCGCUGGACCGUGCACAAGUCUCCUGGAACGGAGCGUCGUAGAGGGUGAGAAUCCCGUCUUUGACAUGGACUACCAGUACUUUGUGAUGCGCUCUCAAAGAGUCGAGUUGUUUGGGAAUGCAGCUCAAAAUGGGUGGUAAAUUCCAUCUAAAGCUAAAUAUAGGCGAGAGACCGAUAGCGAACAAGUACCGUGAGGGAAAGAUGAAAAGCACUUUGGAAAGAGAGUUAAACAGUACGUGAAAUUGCUGAAAGGGAAACGCUUGAAGUCAGUCGUGUCUGCCAGGACUCAGCCUUGCUUUUGCUUGGUGCACUUUCUGGUUUGACAGGCCAGCAUCGAUUUUGACUGUUGGAAAAAGAUUAAGGGAAUGUGGCACCUUCGGGUGUGUUAUAGCCCUUUAUUGCAUACAGCAAUUGGAAUCGAGGAUCGCAGCACGCCUUUAUGGCCGGGGCUUUGCCCACGUACGUGCUUAGGAUGCUGGCAUAAUGGCUUUAAGCGACC